RNAcentral lists this ribosomal RNA (253 nucleotides) under uncultured bacterium. RNAcentral describes it as "partial 16S ribosomal RNA". It matches the Rfam family "Bacterial small subunit ribosomal RNA", at positions 524 to 776 of the family's 1533-position model. The record is from RNAcentral.
GACGGGGGAUGCAAGCGUUAUCCGGAAUCAUUGGGUUUAAAGGGUCCGCAGGCGGUCCUAUAAGUCAGUGGUGAAAGCCUACAGCUUAACUGUAGAACUGCCAUUGAUACUGUAGGACUUGAAUUCGGUCGAAGUGGGCGGAAUAUGUCAUGUAGCGGUGAAAUGCUUAGAUAUGACAUAGAACACCGAUAGCGAAGGCAGCUCACUAGGCCUGGAUUGACGCUCAGGGACGAAAGCGUGGGUAGCGAACAGG